This 433-nucleotide ribosomal RNA is filed under the name uncultured bacterium. RNAcentral describes it as "partial 16S ribosomal RNA". It matches the Rfam family "Bacterial small subunit ribosomal RNA", at positions 29 to 507 of the family's 1533-position model. The record is from RNAcentral.
AGCGAACGCUGGCGGCAGGCCUAACACAUGCAAGUCGAACGAACUCUUCGGAGUUUGUGGCGGACGGGUGAGUAACACGUGGGAACGUGCCUUUAGGUUCGGAAUAACUCAGGGAAACUUGUGCUAAUACCGAAUGUGCCCUUCGGGGGAAAGAUUUAUCGCCUUUAGAGCGGCCCGCGUCUGAUUAGCUAGUUGGUGAGGUAAAGGCUCACCAAGGCGACGAUCAGUAGCUGGUCUGAGAGGAUGAUCAGCCACAUUGGGACUGAGACACGGCCCAAACUCCUACGGGAGGCAGCAGUGGGGAAUCUUGCGCAAUGGGCGAAAGCCUGACGCAGCCAUGCCGCGUGAAUGAUGAAGGUCUUAGGAUUGUAAAAUUCUUUCACCGGGGACGAUAAUGACGGUACCCGGAGAAGAAGCCCCGGCUAACUUCGUG